GGGGAAUAUUGCGCAAUGGGGGCAACCCUGACGCAGCCAUGCCGCGUGAAUGAAGAAGGCCUUCGGGUCGUAAAGUUCUUUCGGUAGCGAGGAAGGCAUUUAGUUUAAUAGACUAAGUGAUUGACGUUAACUACAGAAGAAGCACCGGCUAACUCCGUGCCAGCAGCCGCGGUAAUACGGAGGGUGCGAGCGUUAAUCGGAAUAACUGGGCGUAAAGGGCACGCAGGCGGUGACUUAAGUGAGGUGUGAAAGCCCCGGGCUUAACCUGGGAAUUGCAUUUCAUACUGGGUCGCUAGAGUACUUUAGGGAGGGGUAGAAUUCCACGUGUAGCGGUGAAAUGCGUAGAGAUGUGGAGGAAUACCGAAGGCGAAGGCAGCCCCUUGGGAAUGUACUGACGCUCAUGUGCGAAAGCGUGGGGAGCAAACAGGAUUAGAUACCCUGGUAGUCCACGCUGUAAACGAUGUCGAUUUGGGGGUUGAACUUUAGGUUUGGCGCCCGUAGCUAACGUGAUAAAUCGACCGCCUGGGGAGUACGGCCGCAAGGUUA
RNAcentral lists this ribosomal RNA (546 nucleotides) under uncultured bacterium. RNAcentral describes it as "bacterial SSU rRNA". It matches the Rfam family "Bacterial small subunit ribosomal RNA", at positions 356 to 896 of the family's 1533-position model. The record is from RNAcentral.